UCGGAGAUCCGCGGCAAUAAUAUCAUUCAUAAAUAUGGUGCACUCUAAACAAAUCUAGGCCAAACCAUGAAGAUCAUAGAGGCAAUAGGGGUGAGUGAGAUCAUGGGUUCUUCUUGGAGUUAUGUAAAUCAAGCAGUCGGAACACUUCUAAGUCCUUGAUCAAAACACAAAGGUAAUUGUUAACAUGCCUAGAUCUUGAGAAUGUCUCAAAGCAAACCAGCACUUGCAUCACUAAACAAGUCAUUAUCC
Molecule: long non-coding RNA, 249 nt
Filed under: Elaeis guineensis (African oil palm)
Lineage: Eukaryota; Viridiplantae; Streptophyta; Magnoliopsida; Arecales; Arecaceae
Description: long non-coding RNA (EGUI_LNC015608)
Source: RNAcentral